CCUACGGGCGGCAGCAGUGAGGAAUAUUGGUCAAUGGGCGCAAGCCUGAACCAGCCAAGUCGCGUGAGGGAUGACGGUCCUAUGGAUUGUAAACCUCUUUUGUCGGGGAGCAAGGCCCGCCACGUGUGGCGGGAAGGAGAGUACCCGAAGAAAAAGCAUCGGCUAACUCCGUGCCAGCAGCCGCGGUAAUACGGAGGAUGCGAGCGUUAUCCGGAUUUAUUGGGCGUAAAGGGAGCGUAGGCGGCCUGCCAAGUCUGAUGGGAAAUACCGGGGCUCAACCCCGGGGCUGCAUUGGAAACUGGCAGGCUGGAGUGCCGGAGAGGCAGGCGGAAUUCCUAGUGUAGCGGUGAAAUGCGUAGAUAUUAGGAGGAACACCAGUGGCGAAGGCGGCCUGCUGGACGGUGACUGACGCUGAGGCUCGAAAGCGUGGGGAGCAAACAGGAUUAGAUACCCUUGUAGUC
This 461-nucleotide ribosomal RNA is filed under the name uncultured bacterium. RNAcentral describes it as "partial 16S ribosomal RNA". It matches the Rfam family "Bacterial small subunit ribosomal RNA", at positions 338 to 795 of the family's 1533-position model. The record is from RNAcentral.